Dalotia coriaria is the source of this 183-nucleotide long non-coding RNA. RefSeq lists it as uncharacterized. The record is from RefSeq and is a predicted model, not a curated record. Lineage: Eukaryota; Metazoa; Arthropoda; Insecta; Coleoptera; Staphylinidae. The transcript has 2 exons.
AUAAAUCAGUGCGAGAAUUGAAGGUUGCGCGCAGUGAUAACGUUUUAAUCGAUUGGUGAUUGUGCGGUUGGAGUAUUUGCGCCGCGGUGCGGCAGUGAUAAGGAGACGGAGACGUUGACGAGGAUAAUUCCAUCAUAAUGUUUAACUUUAUAAAAAAAUCCGGCGACAAAGACGCCGACAAAG